AGUAACAGUGAUAUAGAAAGGGUAGUAGAUACCUGGAAUAGCCUUCCGGUGGGAGCAGUAACAGUGAUAUAGAAAGGGUAGAAGAUACCUGGAAUAGCCUUCCAGUGGGAGCAGUAACAGCGAUUAUAGAAAGGGUAGUAGAUACCUGGAAUAGCCUCCCAGUGGAAGCAGUAACAGGGAUAUAGAAAGGGCAGUAGAUACCUGGAAUGGCCUUCCAGUUGAAGCAGUAACAGUGAUAUAGAAAGGAUAGUAGAUACCUGGAAUAGCCUUCCAGUGGGAGCAGUAACAGGGAUAUAGAAAGGGUAGUAGAU
Molecule: non-coding RNA, 311 nt
Organism: Pelobates cultripes (western spadefoot toad)
Lineage: Eukaryota; Metazoa; Chordata; Amphibia; Anura; Pelobatidae
Source: the annotation of a GenBank genome assembly